GAUGUAAGUCGUCUUAUCGCUUCAUAUUUUGAAGAGGAAAGUCCGGACAAUACAGAGCAUUAUACUUCUUAACUGGAAGGUCUCUAUUGAGAACAGAUAGUGCAACAGAAAAUAAACCGCCAAUUUGGUAAGGGUGAAAAGGUAAGGUAAGAGCUUACCGGUCAGGUAGUGAUAUCUGAUGCUUUGUAAACCUUAUAAAUUGAAAGAUCAAGCAAUUCGAGUGUUAAUACAUAUAGUUGCUCGCUAUAAAUCGAAUGGGUAGAUUGAUUGAACUUAGUAGCAAUAUUAAGUCUAGAUAAAUGAUAAGAGUCUGAUAAUAUCAGAUACAGAAUCCGGCUUAUAGACUUACUUUUUUU
RNAcentral lists this RNase P RNA (356 nucleotides) under Cytophagia bacterium. Its description in RNAcentral is "RNase P RNA component class A". It matches the Rfam family "Bacterial RNase P class A". From Rfam's summary of the family: Ribonuclease P (RNase P) is a ubiquitous endoribonuclease, found in archaea, bacteria and eukarya as well as chloroplasts and mitochondria. Its best characterised activity is the generation of mature 5'-ends of tRNAs by cleaving the 5'-leader elements of precursor-tRNAs. Lineage: Bacteria; Pseudomonadati; Bacteroidota; Cytophagia. The record is from RNAcentral.